UUCAAGCAAAACAAGAAGUCUAGAUUCC
RNAcentral lists this non-coding RNA (28 nucleotides) under Rattus norvegicus (Norway rat). Lineage: Eukaryota; Metazoa; Chordata; Mammalia; Rodentia; Muridae. The record is from RNAcentral.